CACAAAUCCAUUCAUAACGCUGCUCUCAGAAAAGCAGGAAGGCACAUCAACAGUCUGAAAGGUUUGACUUGCCGAAGGUAACGGGACGGACACUGAGUAAGCUUUGGCGUGGAUUACACCAAGCCUGACAAAUGAACUUGACCCCCACCGAUUGUUUCACCAGCGCUACGAACACUAUAACGCAUUUCGGUUUUCUGCUCGCAAAACAGUUCUUCCGGCUGACCAACAGUUUAGCAAUCUAGCUCUCAAGAAAAUAGGUCAUUGAUGAGCUGCGUUUCUUUAAUAAUUUCGGGCAAAGCUUUUGAGAUGAAGAUUUUCUGUAGUCAUUGAAUCAAAAAGAUGGGGAAUGUGGACAUGGGGCCAGAAAGCAGGCAUAACAACAAGCUUCUGGACUGAUUGGGUCGAGAGGCACUUGUAGUAAAGAC
Carcharodon carcharias (great white shark) is the source of this 425-nucleotide long non-coding RNA. RefSeq lists it as uncharacterized. Lineage: Eukaryota; Metazoa; Chordata; Chondrichthyes; Lamniformes; Lamnidae. The transcript is spliced from 3 exons. The record is from RefSeq and is a predicted model, not a curated record.